Molecule: non-coding RNA, 146 nt
Organism: Pelobates cultripes (western spadefoot toad)
Lineage: Eukaryota; Metazoa; Chordata; Amphibia; Anura; Pelobatidae
Source: the annotation of a GenBank genome assembly
GUGUGUCUGUGUAUCAAGGUGUGUGUAUCUGUGUUUGUAUGUGCCAGUGUGUGUAUCUGUGUGUUAGUGUGUAUAAAUCUGAUACACAGAUACACACACUGGCACAUACUGGUACACAGAUACACACACACCUUGACACACAGUAU